GGGGUCAUGGCUCAGUGGUGGAGCGCUUGCCUAGCAUGCAUAAGGCACUGGGUUUGAUCCCCGGCACCCCA
This 71-nucleotide transfer RNA is filed under the name Ictidomys tridecemlineatus (thirteen-lined ground squirrel). RNAcentral's name for it is "Spermophilus tridecemlineatus (thirteen-lined ground squirrel) tRNA". It matches the Rfam family "tRNA". Rfam says of the family: Transfer RNA (tRNA) molecules are approximately 80 nucleotides in length. Their secondary structure includes four short double-helical elements and three loops (D, anti-codon, and T loops). The record is from Rfam by way of RNAcentral. Lineage: Eukaryota; Metazoa; Chordata; Mammalia; Rodentia; Sciuridae.